Molecule: long non-coding RNA, 1516 nt
Organism: Oncorhynchus masou masou (cherry salmon)
Lineage: Eukaryota; Metazoa; Chordata; Actinopteri; Salmoniformes; Salmonidae
Exons: 2
Source: RefSeq, a predicted model, not a curated record
CAGUAGGGGACAGUGUCUAUAACUAGUGUGUGUGUGUCUCCAGGUUCCAGUCAGGGGACAGUGUCUAUAACUAGUGUGUGUCUCCAGGUUCCAGUCAGGGGACAGUGUCUAUAACUAGUGUGUGUCUCCAGGUUCCAGUAGGGGACAGUGUCUAUAACUAGUGUGUGUGUGUCUCCAGGUUCCAGUCAGGGGACAGUGUCUAUAACUAGUGUGUGUGUGUCUCCAGGUUCCAGUCAGGGGACAGUGUCUAUAACUAGUGUGUGUCUCCAGGUUCCAGUAGGGGACAGUGUCUAUAACUAGUGUGUGUGUGUCUCCAGGUUCCAGUAGGGGACAGUGUCUAUAACUAGUGUGUGUCUCCAGGUUCCAGUAGGGGACAGUCUCUAUAACUAGUGUGUGUCUCCAGGUUCCAGUAGGGGACAGUGUCUAUAACUAGUGUGUGUCUCCAGGUUCCAGUAGGGGACAUUCUCUAUAACUAGUGUGUGUCUCCAGGUUCCAGUCAGGGGACAGUGUCUAUAACUAGUGUGUGUCUCCAGGUUCCAGUCAGGGGACAGUCUCUAUAACUAGUGUGUGUGUGUGUCUCCAGGUUCCAGUAGGGGACAGUCUCUAUAACUAGUGUGUGUGUGUCUCCAGGUUCCAGUAGGGGACAGUGUCUAUAACUAGUGUGUGUCUCCAGGUUCCAGUAGGGGACAGUGUCUAUAACUAGUGUGUGUCUCCAGGUUCCAGUCAGGGUACAGUGUCUAUAACUAGUGUGUGUCUCCAGGUUCCAGUAGGGGACAGUGUCUAUAACUAGUGUGUGUCUCCAGGUUCCAGUAGGGGACAGUGUCUAUAACUAGUGUGUGUCUCCAGGUUCCAGUCAGGGGACAGUGUCUAUAACUAGUGUGUGUCUCCAGGUUCCAGUAGGGGACAGUGUCUAUAACUAGUGUGUGUCUCCAGGUUCCAGUAGGGGACAGUGUCUAUAACUAGUGUGUGUCUCCAGGUUCCAGUCAGGGGACAGUCUCUAUAACUAGUGUGUGUCUCCAGGUUCCAGUAGGGGACAGUGUCUAUAACUAGUGUGUGUCUCCAGGUUCCAGUCAGGGGACAGUCUCUAUAACUAGUGUGUGUGUGUCUCCAGGUUCCAGUCAGGGGACAGUCUCUAUAACUAGUGUGUGUGUGUCUCCAGGUUCCAGUCAGGGGACAGUGUCUAUAACUAGUGUGUGUCUCCAGGUUCCAGUAGGGGACAGUGUCUAUAACUAGCGUGUGUGUGUCUCCAGGUUCCAGUCAGGGGACAGUCUCUAUAACUAGUGUGUGUCUCCAGGUUCCAGUCAGGGGACAGUGUCUAUAACUAGUGUGUGUCUCCAGGUUCCAGUCAGGGGACAGUGUCUAUAACUAGUGUGUGUCUCCAGGUUCCAGUCAGGGGACAGUGUCUAUAACUAGUGUGUGUCUCCAGGUUCCAGUCAGGGGACAGUGUCUAUAACUAGUGUGUGUCUCCAGGUUCCAGUCAGGGGACAGUGUCUAUAACUAGUGUGUGUCUCCAGGU